CUGCUCACUUCAGCAGCACAUAUACUAAAAUUAAAAUGACACAGAGAAGAUUAGCAUGGCCCCGCACAAGGAUGACAUGCAAAUUUGUGAAGCAUUCCAUAUUUUU
Molecule: small nuclear RNA, 106 nt
Organism: Marmota marmota marmota (Alpine marmot)
Lineage: Eukaryota; Metazoa; Chordata; Mammalia; Rodentia; Sciuridae
Source: Ensembl